UACGUAGGAUGCAAGCGUUGUCCGGAAUUAUUGGGCGUAAAGAGUUCGUAGGUGGUUAUCUAAGUCUGGUGUUAAAGACGGGAGCUCAACUCCCGCAUGGCAUCGGAAACUGGAUGGCUAGAGUGUGAAAGAGGUAACUGGAAUUCCUGGUGUAGCGGUGAAAUGCGCAGAUAUCAGGAGGAACACCAAUGGCGAAGGCAGCUCGCUGGGACGUUACUGACGCUGAGACGCGAAAGCGUGGGGAGCAAACAGG
This 253-nucleotide ribosomal RNA is filed under the name uncultured bacterium. RNAcentral describes it as "partial 16S ribosomal RNA". It matches the Rfam family "Bacterial small subunit ribosomal RNA", at positions 524 to 776 of the family's 1533-position model. The record is from RNAcentral.